CGCGGCCUAUCAGCUUGUUGGUGAGGUAAUGGCUCACCAAGGCUUCGACGGGUAGCCGGCCUGAGAGGGCGACCGGCCACACUGGGACUGAGAUACGGCCCAGACUCCUACGGGAGGCAGCAGUGGGGAAUAUUGCACAAUGGGCGCAAGCCUGAUGCAGCAACGCCGCGUGCGGGAUGACGGCCUUCGGGUUGUAAACCGCUUUCAGUAGGGACGAAGCUAACGUGACGGUACCUACAGAAGAAGGACCGGCUAACUACGUGCCAGCAGCCGCGGUGAUACGUAGGGUCCGAGCGUUGUCCGGAAUUAUUGGGCGUAAAGGGCUUGUAGGUGGUCCGUCGCGUCAGGAGUGAAAACUCGGGGCUUAACCCCGAGCCUGCUUUUGAUACGGGCGGACUAGAGGGAUGCAGGGGAGAACGGAAUUCCUGGUGGAGCGGUGGAAUGCGCAGAUAUCAGGAGGAACACCGGUGGCGAAGGCGGUUCUCUGGGCAUCACCUGACGCUGAGAAGCGAAAGCGUGGGGAGCAAACAGGCUUAGAUACCCUGGUAGUCCACGCCGUAAACGGUGGGCACUAGGUGUGGGGGACAUUCCACGUUCUCCGUGCCGAAGCUAACGCAUUAAGUGCCCCGCCUGGGGAGUACGG
RNAcentral lists this ribosomal RNA (643 nucleotides) under uncultured bacterium. Its description in RNAcentral is "bacterial SSU rRNA". It matches the Rfam family "Bacterial small subunit ribosomal RNA", at positions 232 to 885 of the family's 1533-position model. The record is from RNAcentral.